GCUUACGGCCAUAUCAGCCUGGGUACGCCCGAUCUCGUCUGAUCUCGGAAGCUAAGCAGGGUCGGGCCUGGUUAGUACUUGGAUGGUAGAACGCCUGGGAAUACCAGGUGCUGUAAGCA
Molecule: ribosomal RNA, 119 nt
Filed under: Salmo salar (Atlantic salmon)
Lineage: Eukaryota; Metazoa; Chordata; Actinopteri; Salmoniformes; Salmonidae
Source: RNAcentral